This 215-nucleotide ribosomal RNA is filed under the name uncultured bacterium. RNAcentral's name for it is "partial 16S ribosomal RNA". It matches the Rfam family "Bacterial small subunit ribosomal RNA", at positions 1278 to 1500 of the family's 1533-position model. The record is from RNAcentral.
GAAACCCCGCUCAUUCGGAUUGGAGUCUGCAACUCGACUCCAUGAAGCUGGAUUCGCUGUAAUCGCGCAUCAGCCAUGGCGCGGUGAAUACGUUCCCGGGCCUUGUACACACCGCCCGUCAAGCCAUGGGAGUCGGGAGUGCCUGAAGUUCGUGACCGUCACAGGAGCGACCUAAGGCAAGACCGAUGACUGGGGCUAAGUCGUAACAAGGUAGC